GACGAACGCUGGCGGCGUGCUUAACACAUGCAAGUCGAGCGGUAAGGCCCUUUCGGGGGUACACGAGCGGCGAACGGGUGAGUAACACGUGGGUGACCUGCCCUCAGCUCUGGGAUAAGCCUGGGAAACCGGGUCUAAUACUGGAUAUGACUCCAUGACGCAUGUUGUGGGGUGGAAAGCCUUGUGCGGCUGAGGAUGGGCCCGCGGCCUAUCAGCUUGUUGGUGGGGUGAUGGCCUACCAAGGCGACGACGGGUAGCCGGCCUGAGAGGGCGACGGCCACACUGGGACUGAGACACGGCCCAGACUCCUACGGGAGGCAGCAGUGGGGAAUCUUGCGCAAUGGGCGAAAGCCUGACGCAGCGACGCCGCGUGAGGGAUGACGGCCU
This 387-nucleotide ribosomal RNA is filed under the name uncultured bacterium. RNAcentral's name for it is "bacterial SSU rRNA". It matches the Rfam family "Bacterial small subunit ribosomal RNA", at positions 28 to 417 of the family's 1533-position model. The record is from RNAcentral.